AGCGCAGGCGGGAAGGUAAGUCUAUCUUAAAAGUGCGGGGCUCAACCCCGUGAGGGGAUAGAAACUAUCAUUCUUGAGUGCAGGAGAGGAAAGCGGAAUUCCUAGUGUAGCGGUGAAAUGCGUAGAUAUUAGGAGGAACACCAGUGGCGAAGGCGGCUUUCUGGACUGUAACUGACGCUGAGGCUCGAAAGCCAGGGAGCAACG
RNAcentral lists this ribosomal RNA (204 nucleotides) under uncultured bacterium. RNAcentral's name for it is "partial 16S ribosomal RNA". It matches the Rfam family "Bacterial small subunit ribosomal RNA", at positions 568 to 773 of the family's 1533-position model. The record is from RNAcentral.